UGAGAAUCAACCUGGAUGAACGGUGUCUU
RNAcentral lists this non-coding RNA (29 nucleotides) under Homo sapiens (human). The record is from RNAcentral. Lineage: Eukaryota; Metazoa; Chordata; Mammalia; Primates; Hominidae.